GACGAACGCUGGCGGCGUGCUUAACACAUGCAAGUCGAACGGAAAGGCCCUGCUUUUGUGGGGUGCUCGAGUGGCGAACGGGUGAGUAACACGUGAGUAACCUGCCCUUGACUUUGGGAUAACUUCAGGAAACUGGGGCUAAUACCGGAUAGGAGCUCCUGCUGCAUGGUGGGGGUUGGAAAGUUUCGGCGGUAGGGGAUGGACUCGCGGCUUAUCAGCUUGUUGGUGGGGGAGUGGCUUACCAAGGCUUGGACGGGUAGCCGGCCUGAGAGGGUGACCGGCCACAUGGGGACUGCGAUACGGCCCAGACUCCUACGGGAGGCAGCAGUGGGGAAUAUUGCACAAUGGGCGGAAGCCUGAUGCAGCGACGCCGCGGUCGGGAUGACGGCCUGCGGGUUGUAAACCGCUUUCGCCUGUGACGAAGCGUGAGUGACGGUAAUGGGUAAAGAAGCACCGGCUAACUACGUG
RNAcentral lists this ribosomal RNA (468 nucleotides) under uncultured bacterium. RNAcentral's name for it is "partial 16S ribosomal RNA". It matches the Rfam family "Bacterial small subunit ribosomal RNA", at positions 28 to 507 of the family's 1533-position model. The record is from RNAcentral.